GACGGGACCCGCACAAGCGGUGGAUGAUGUGGUUUAAUUCGAUGCAACGCGAAAACCUUACCCACCUUUGACAUGUACGGAAUCCUUUAGAGAUAGAGGAGUGCUCGAAAGAGAGCCGUAACACAGGUGCUGCAUGGCUGUCGUCAGCUCGUGUCGUGAGAUGUUGGGUUAAGUCCCGCAACGAGCGCAACCCUUGUCAUUAGUUGCUACAUUCAGUUGGGCACUCUAAUGAGACUGCCGGUGACAAACCGGAGGAAGGUGGGGAUGACGUCAAGUCCUCAUGGCCCUUAUAGGUGGGGCUACACACGUCAUACAAUGGAUGGUACAAAGGGUCGCCAACCCGCGAGGGGGAGCCAAUCCCAUAAAGCCAUUCGUAGUCCGGAUCGCAGUCUGCAACUCGACUGCGUGAAGUCGGAAUCGCUAGUAAUCGCGAAUCAGCAUGUCGCGGUGAAUACGUUCCCGGGCCUU
Molecule: ribosomal RNA, 468 nt
Filed under: uncultured Acidovorax sp.
Lineage: Bacteria; Pseudomonadati; Pseudomonadota; Betaproteobacteria; Burkholderiales; Comamonadaceae
Description: bacterial SSU rRNA
Rfam family: Bacterial small subunit ribosomal RNA
Source: RNAcentral